Mycena metata is the source of this 98-nucleotide non-coding RNA. NCBI's taxonomy places the organism in Eukaryota, Fungi, Basidiomycota, Agaricomycetes, Agaricales, Mycenaceae. The record is from the annotation of a GenBank genome assembly.
GCCUCUGUGGAUCAGUGUAGAUCGCCUCGAGAUUGUUGGACUGAUAACGCGUACAGAGAAUUAACGAGGAGAUGUGGGUUCGAGUCCCGCCGGAGGCC